CCUACGGGUGAGCUGCAGUGAGGAAUAUUGGUCAAUGGCCGAGAGGCUGAACCAGCCAAGUCGCGUGAGGGAAGACGGCCCUACGGGUUGUAAACCUCUUUUGUCGGGGAGCAAAGCGAGUCACGUGUGACUCAUUGAGAGUACCCGAAGACAAAGCAUCGGCUAACUCCGUGCCAGCAGCCGCGGUAAUACGGAGGAUGCGAGCGUUAUCCGGAUUUAUUGGGUUAAAGGGGUGCGCAGUGGGAGGUGCAAGUCAGCGGUCAAAUUGCGGGGCUCAACCCCGUACUGCCGUUGAAACUGAUGUUCUUGAGUGGGCGAGAAGUAGGCGGAAUGCGUGGUGUAGCGGUGAAAUGCAUAGAUAUCACGCAGAACUCCGAUUGCGAAGGCAGCAUACCGGAGCCCAACUGACGCUGAAGCACGAAAGCGUGGGUAUCGAACAGGAUUAGAUACCCGUGUAGUC
Molecule: ribosomal RNA, 460 nt
Filed under: uncultured bacterium
Lineage: Bacteria
Description: partial 16S ribosomal RNA
Rfam family: Bacterial small subunit ribosomal RNA
Source: RNAcentral